AGAGUUCGAUUAUGGCUCAGGACGAACGCUGGCGGCGUGCCUAACACAUGCAAGUCGAACGGACUGAUCUUGGUGCUUGCACCGGGAGAAAGUUAGUGGCGGACGGGUGAGUAACGCGUGAGUAACCUGCCUUUCAGAGGGGGAUAACGUUUUGAAAAGAACGCUAAUACCGCAUGAAAUCAAGGAACUGCAUGGUUUUUUGAUCAAAGGAGCAAUCCGCUGAGAGAUGGACUCGCGUCCGAUUAGCCAGUUGGCGGGGUAACGGCCCACCAAAGCGACGAUCGGUAGCCGGACUGAGAGGUUGAACGGCCACAUUGGGACUGAGACACGGCCCAG
RNAcentral lists this ribosomal RNA (336 nucleotides) under uncultured bacterium. RNAcentral's name for it is "bacterial SSU rRNA". It matches the Rfam family "Bacterial small subunit ribosomal RNA", at positions 8 to 334 of the family's 1533-position model. The record is from RNAcentral.